UACGUAGGGGCCUAGCGUUGUCCGGAUUUAUUGGGCGUAAAGAGCUCGUAGGCGGUUUGGUGAGUCGGGUGUGAAAUCUCCACGCUCAACGUGGAGGAGCCACCCGAUACUGCCAUGACUAGAGUCCGGUAGGGGAGUGUGGAAUUCCCGGUGUAGCGGUGAAAUGCGCAGAUAUCGGGAGGAACACCAGUAGCGAAGGCGGGUCUCUGGGCCGAUACUGACGCUGAGACGCGAAAGCGUGGGGAGCGAACAGG
Molecule: ribosomal RNA, 254 nt
Filed under: uncultured bacterium
Lineage: Bacteria
Description: partial 16S ribosomal RNA
Rfam family: Bacterial small subunit ribosomal RNA
Source: RNAcentral